This 91-nucleotide microRNA precursor is filed under the name Marmota monax (woodchuck). Lineage: Eukaryota; Metazoa; Chordata; Mammalia; Rodentia; Sciuridae. The record is from RNAcentral.
AGUGUAAUUUCUGGUUAAUAUUUUUAACUUUAUCAGAUAUUGCCAUACUGUUUUCUAAAGUAACCAGAACUUUUUCAUUUCCACAAGCAAU